This 72-nucleotide transfer RNA is filed under the name Camelus bactrianus (Bactrian camel). It matches the Rfam family "tRNA". Rfam says of the family: Transfer RNA (tRNA) molecules are approximately 80 nucleotides in length. Their secondary structure includes four short double-helical elements and three loops (D, anti-codon, and T loops). Further hydrogen bonds mediate the characteristic L-shaped molecular structure. tRNAs have two regions of fundamental functional importance: the anti-codon, which is responsible for specific mRNA codon recognition, and the 3' end, to which the tRNAs corresponding amino acid is attached (by aminoacyl-tRNA synthetases). tRNAs cope with the degeneracy of the genetic code in two manners: having more than one tRNA (with a specific anti-codon) for a particular amino acid; and 'wobble' base-pairing, i.e. permitting non-standard base-pairing at the 3rd anti-codon position. RNAcentral also lists the same sequence under 1 other name. Lineage: Eukaryota; Metazoa; Chordata; Mammalia; Artiodactyla; Camelidae. The record is from Rfam by way of RNAcentral.
GAGGGUAUAGCUCAGUGGUAGAGCGCAUGCUUAGCAUACAUGAGGUCAUGGGUUGGAUCCCCAGUAUCUCUG